Molecule: ribosomal RNA, 489 nt
Filed under: Triticum aestivum (bread wheat)
Lineage: Eukaryota; Viridiplantae; Streptophyta; Magnoliopsida; Poales; Poaceae
Description: partial small subunit ribosomal RNA
Source: RNAcentral
AUGGGCGUCGUCUCGGCGGUGGCGGACGCGGUGGUCGUCCUCUUCUCCCUCACCAUCACGGUGGCGGUCCCGCUCAUCGACGCGCAGACCGUCCUCCCGCCCGACCUCUACCCGGCGCCGCUGCGGGACCUCAAGCGGUGGUACGCCGCCGAGUUCGACGACUACCUCAUGGCCCACCCGCCGGCCUUCCUCCACGGCCUCUUCUGCCUCGAGCUCGCCUUCCUCUGGCCGCUCUCCGUCGCCACCAUCUACGGCGUCCUCGCCCGCCGCCGAUGGGCCGCCACCACCUCCCUCAUGGCCGGCGUCACCACCCUCACCUCCAUGUCUGCGAUACUUGGUGAGAUGCUGGGCUCAGGAAAGGCAACGCCGAAGCUGCUUCAGCUGUAUGUUCCAUACGUCGUGUUCUCCGUCGUUGCCAUUCUGCGCGGUCUCUGCUCAUGCUCCGCGCCGCCCUCGCCUGCAUCUUCUGCUCGGAAGAAGAGGGUCUAG